AACGAACGCUGGCGGCAUGCCUAACACAUGCAAGUCGAACGAGAUCUUCGGGUCUAGUGGCGCACGGGUGCGUAACGCGUGGGAAUCUGCCCUUUGGUUCGGAAUAACAGUUGGACAAGACUGCUAAUACCGGAUGAUGACGAAAGUCCAAAGAUUUAUCGCCAGAGGAUGAGCCCGCGUAGGAUUAGCUAGUUGGUGUGGUAAAGGCGCACCAAGGCGCCGAUGCUUAGCUGGUCUGAGAGGAUGAUCAGCCACACGGGGACUGGGACACGGCCCAGACUCCUACGGGAGGCAGCAGUGGGGAAUAUUGGACAAUGGUCGAAAGCCUGAUCCAGCAAUGCCGCGUGAGUGAUGAAGGCCUGAGGGUUGUAAAGCUCUUUUACCCGGGAUGAUAAUGACAGUACCGGGAGAAUAAGCUCCGGCUAACUCCGUGCCAGCAGCCGCCGUAA
Molecule: ribosomal RNA, 449 nt
Filed under: uncultured bacterium
Lineage: Bacteria
Description: partial 16S ribosomal RNA
Rfam family: Bacterial small subunit ribosomal RNA
Source: RNAcentral